Molecule: ribosomal RNA, 255 nt
Filed under: uncultured bacterium
Lineage: Bacteria
Description: partial 16S ribosomal RNA
Rfam family: Bacterial small subunit ribosomal RNA
Source: RNAcentral
UACAGAGGGUGCGAGCGUUGUCCGGAAUCACUGGGCGUAAAGGGCGCGUAGGUGGUGGCUUAAGCGUGCGGUGAAAGCUCGGGGCUCAACCCCGAGUCGGCCGUGCGAACUGGGCUCACUGGAGCAUAGUAGAGGCAGGUGGAAUUCCGGGUGUAGCGGUGGAAUGCGUAGAGAUCCGGAAGAACACCGGUGGCGAAGGCGGCCUGCUGGGCUAUGGCGUGACACUGAGGCGCGACAGCGUGGGGAGCAAACAGG